GGGGAGCGGGCGUUGCGGGCCGGCCCCUCCUAACCUGCGCACUGGGUCGCUGCACCACCACCACCACCAUCACCGCCUCUACUGCCGCCGCCAGCACCUCCACCAGGAGAAAGCUGCCAGUCUGUCUGACACGUAAGAAGACGAUGACGAUAAAGAAGGAAGAGGAGGAGAAGAAGGAGCAGGAGGAGGAGGAAGAGGAGGAGAAGGAGGAGGAGGAGGAGACAAGUUACUCGACUCGUUAAAAGAAGAAGAGAAACAAAAGAAAAAGGAAGAAGGAGAAGAGGAAGAAAAAGAAAGAAAAGGUAACGAAACAGAAAAAAAAUAAAAUAAAAGGAAAGAGAAAAGAAAAGAAACAGAAAAGGAGGAAGAAGUAAAAGUAGAAGAAAAAAGCAGAAGAAAAGAAAAAGAAGAAGAAGAAACAGAAGAAGAAGAAG
Long non-coding RNA from Scylla paramamosain (green mud crab), 434 nucleotides. RefSeq lists it as uncharacterized. The transcript is spliced from 2 exons. The record is from RefSeq and is a predicted model, not a curated record. NCBI's taxonomy places the organism in Eukaryota, Metazoa, Arthropoda, Malacostraca, Decapoda, Portunidae.